This 1405-nucleotide ribosomal RNA is filed under the name uncultured eukaryote. Its description in RNAcentral is "partial small subunit ribosomal RNA". It matches the Rfam family "Eukaryotic small subunit ribosomal RNA", at positions 33 to 1472 of the family's 1831-position model. The record is from RNAcentral.
UAUUUCAAAGAUUAAGCCAUGCAUGUCUAAGCAUGAGCUAAAUCAAAGUGAAGCCGCGAAUAGCUCAUUACAAUAGCCGUUGUUUCUUGGAUCCUAACUUUACUUGGAUACCUGUGGUAAUUCUAGAGCUAAUACAUGCGACUAAGAGCCGACCUCACGGGACGCUUGCAUUUAUUAAAUCAAGACUAACCGGCUUCGGCCGUUACUUGGUGACUCUGAAUAACUGAGCUGAUCGCACGGUCUAGUGCCGGCGACAUAUCCUUUCAAGUGUCUACCUUAUCAACUUUCGAUGGUAGUUUAUGUGACUACCAUGGUUGUAACGGGUAACGGAGAAUCAGGGUUUGACUCCGGAGAGGGAGCCUGAGAAACGGCUACCACUUCUAAGGAAGGCAGCAGGCGCGCAAAUUACACAAUCUCAGUUCGAGGAUGUAGUGACGAAACAUACCGAGGCGAUGCCCUUUCGGGUGUCGUCAUUGGAAUGGCUGAAUUUAAAACGUUCAGUGAGGAUCUAGUGGAGGGCAAGUCUGGUGCCAGCAGCCGCGGUAAUUCCAGCUCCGCAAGUGUAUAUCUAUGUUGUUGCGGUUAAAAAGCUCGUAGUUUGAUUCGCGUACUUAGCACGCAGUGUGGCCUUUCGGCUACUACUGUGAUGCGGUACAUUAUCGUCAGUUUUCUCUUUAUGCCUUUAACCGGGUGUACUGAGUGACUAACAUGUUUACUUUGAAAAAAUUAGAGUGCUUAAAACAAGCGAUUCGCUUGAAUAUUCGUGCAUGGAAUAAUAGAAUAGGACCUUGGUUCUAUUUUGUUGGUUUUCGGAACACAAGGUAAUGAUUAAGAGGGACAGACGGGGGCAUUCAUAUUUCGACGUUAGAGGUGAAAUUCUUGGAUCGUCGAAAGAUGCACUACUGCGAAAGCAUUUGCCAAGAAUGUUUUCAUUAAUCAAGAACGAAAGUUAGAGGUUCGAAGGCGAUCAGAUACCGCCCUAGUUCUAACCGUAAACGAUGCCAACUAGCGAUCUGCUGGUGUUUAUCUAGACCCAGCAGGGAGCUUUCCGGAAACGAAAGUCUUCAGGUUCCGGGGGAAGUAUGGUUGCAAAGCUGAAACUUAAAGGAAUUGACGGAAGGGCACCACCAGGAGUGGAGCCUGCGGCUUAAUUUGACCCAACACGGGAAAACUCACCCGGCCCGGACACUAGUAGGAUCGACAGGUUGAGAGCUCUUUCUUGAUUUGGUGGGUGGUGGUGCAUGGCCGUUCUUAGUUGGUGGAGUGAUUUGUCUGGUUAAUUCCGAUAACGAACGAGACUCUGGCCUACUAACUAGUGUACGCGCCCCUAGCGCGUUGUUACUUCUUAGAGGGACAAACGGUGUUCAGCCGUAUGAAAAAGAGCAAUAACAGGUCUGUGAUGCCC